This is a long non-coding RNA of Hippopotamus amphibius kiboko, 614 nucleotides long. RefSeq lists it as uncharacterized. The record is from RefSeq and is a predicted model, not a curated record. The transcript is spliced from 3 exons. NCBI's taxonomy places the organism in Eukaryota, Metazoa, Chordata, Mammalia, Artiodactyla, Hippopotamidae.
ACAUUUUAAAUUUGUAUUUAUUUAUUUAUUUUUAGCUGUGCUGUACGGCUUGCGGGAUCUUAGUUCCCCGACCAGGGAUUGAACCUGCGUCCUCGGCGGUGAAAGCAUGGAGUCCUAACCACUGGACCGCUAGGGAAUUCCCACUCAACAUUUUUGACACCAAGAAGAAAAAGCAACAGAUGGCAUCUACAUGUUGUAUGCCAAGAUGCUCCCUCAGAGUUUGGAGAGUCCGGGAUCAGGCUGCUGUGGGCCAGGCCACCCAGACGGAUGCAGAGGUGUGGUCUCCUCCCCAGUCUCUGCAGCUCACAGAGCAAGGCCGGAGCAAGCUGGAGGGUGGACCUUCUGCUCUCUUAGUAUCUGGACUUCACCUUGGAUGCUGGAAUCUGGGGAACACGCAGAGUGAUUGCCAAAGCGCCUGGACAGACAGCACAGCCAGUGCCUCCACAGGAGCCCAACCUGAAGGCUGCGAGCACAGAGGCCAGCUCUCCGGAUCCCCCUCAACCCUGCACCCGCCCCAGUCGUGUUCAGAUAUCCUGUUGUAAGAGUCCCAAGGGCUGGGUCUGCUCAGACUAUUUAAGGUUUUGAUCUCAGUGGGGGAGGAACUUUCCCUGAAG